GUAAUUUCAUGAAAGGGAAUCUAAACUUAUUUAUAACUUAAGAUCAUGUAAAUGUUAUAUAUAUAAAUAUUAAUUCUUCAACAUAGUAAUAAAUAUUAAAUAUUGAAUAACGUUCGAUUUGGUUGGGUUUGAGGAAUCGGUUAAUGGCGUGCCAGCAGCUGCGGUUAUACGGUUGAUUUGAUUAAGUUUUUUGGUUUAUUUGAUUAAUUAGUGUUUGGGGUGGUUUUUUGUUGUUUUUGGUGAAAUAAGUAUAAAUGAUUGAUUUUCGUUGUUUUGAUUGGGGGAAAUUGAUUUUUGAAACCAGGAUUAGAUACCCUGUUAUUGUUAGUGUUUUUGUUAGCUAAGGUAGUAAGAGAUGCUCUUGAAACCUAAGGGUUUUGGCGGUCUUUUUUCUUAUUAGAGGAAUUUGCUCUGUAAUUGAUAAUCCUCGUUAAAUUUUACUUGAUUGAUGUUUGUAUACCGCUGUUGAUGAUAUUUUUUAAAUGAGAUAUUGGGUAAAUAUGGUUCUAAAUGUCAAGUCAAGGUGCAGCUAGUAUUUGAGAUUGAAGUGAAUUACAAUUAGGUAUAAUGGAUUACUGAGUGUAAGUUGAUUAUGAGAUUGGAUUUAAUAGUAAUUUUGUAUUAAUAUGAUAUUAUGAAUAUGGUUUAAAAAGAUGUACAUAUCGCCCGUCACUCUUGGUCUGUGAAUUGAGAUAAGUCGUAACAAAGUGGGUGUACUGGAAAGUGUGUCUGGAUGAAUGAAG
RNAcentral lists this non-coding RNA (743 nucleotides) under Pseudocellus gertschi. The record is from RNAcentral. Lineage: Eukaryota; Metazoa; Arthropoda; Arachnida; Ricinulei; Ricinoididae.